CGUAACUCUCCCUGCCAUAGACACAGAACUAGGAGGAACGGGAAAUUUCAAAGGAUAUACCUUUGAAUUAACCUUAUGGGAGCGUUUGACCUCUUGCACGUUGGCUAACUACCAUGAAAAGAGCGAGCCCCAAGCAACCACUGGUGUCAGAACAAGAGACCUCAACCCGACCUGCCACUUGGAGGAGAGCCGCCUCAGCCAGCUCACACACCGGAAAUAAGGGAAGACUGAAGCCAAAGAGAACUAGCGUGUACUAUGUGGCCACCCCCCUCCAGGAACCUUCUUAGAAGAUGUUCAUAAACGAUACAGCUUCAAGUGCAGGACCUGCCCCUCGGCACAGCCCACGUUCACUCUCGGUCAGAUGCAGUCCCUUCACCAACUUCUCAAUAGUUGCCCCUUUGGGCUGUGCUCGCCGCCGUUUGUGUCUGUCCUUCCUUGUUCUGAACCUCAGCACCGUUCCCUGUCGCAGGCUGAUUGCAGGUGAUGAUUCUCUUCCUCUCAGCCAAUAGGACUCCGAUAUCUCUAAGAUGCUUCAAAACACAAAAAGUUUAUCUUCAGGAGUGGGGGUAAGACAAUUUUCAUGCCUCAGGGCCAUGUACUUACUCCUCCAUAAACGAAAAGAGAACUACCUGGAACUUUU
This 640-nucleotide long non-coding RNA is filed under the name Vulpes vulpes (red fox). Its description in RNAcentral is "lncRNA (ENSVVUG00000000386.1)". Lineage: Eukaryota; Metazoa; Chordata; Mammalia; Carnivora; Canidae. The record is from RNAcentral.